UCGUAGAUUAUGCAAAAGAGUUUUAGUUAAAAUUACAAAAAGCAUUAUUCAUGAUUAAGAAGUGCAUUGCUGUAUUUAAUCCUUUCUUUUCCUCACAAGAAUAUUAGAAUCAUGAGCAGUAGAUCAUAUGAACCCUCAAGUCUUACAAUUUUUAAUUAGGUCUGAAUAAUUGUACAGUAACAGCAAUGAACUUUUGAUUAUAUAUUACAAUGUCACAAAAUUUUAUUAAGAAUUUAACCAAAAUUGUAUGAGUUUGAUAAAGAUCUUUCAAAAAAAGAAACUUCAUAUGCAGCCACGUUACAAAAGUUGAAACAUGAAGUUGUAUAAGCAUUGUUGUUUUUUACUUUGAAAUAAAAGACAAAAAUGUUUUCAACAAACACACCUUUCUCAUUCAAGUUGAGACAGUCUUUUUUAAUCGCUUCUUAAUCUGAACUUCUGUCCUAUGACUAGAAUCCCUUCAACAUCCUUGAAUGUCUUGCUCCCCUUCAAGAAAAUGCCAAACCUUGACUUGUGCACUCUUCAUCUGGUCCCAAGCAAAAUCAGCAAUUUAUUAUAUUGGAAUCAGCUCUUAAAUAUGGGGCCUCUUCAAUGAUGUCACCUAUUUCCUUCAAAAUUCUGGGAUGGAACCCACUUACCCCUGGAAAUGUCAUUCUUUUGCCAUUACAGUUUCCCUAGAACAUUCAGAAUUUACAAUGGAAUUUCAAGCUCUAUGAGUAAAGUGCUGAGAAGUUGUUAUGAAUUUCCAACAAUCUGUCUUUGACUGCAUCCUUCCAAGUAACGCAGAAAUGUGCACAAUCACAUCUGGAACUGGGAGACCAAUCUUCUAUAGUGAUAGUCAAACCACAGAAUCAACUCUGGUCCAAGGAAACGUGCUGAGAACACCAACUGUACUAGAAGUGAGGUGCCAAAUGAUGAAACUGCAACACAGGACUUUGUGUGUGUUAUGUAAUUGAAGUAGUAUACAGCAGACAGAGCUAAGCAAUAAUUCAGAUCAAAGAUCUGUGGUCAUGUUGCAUUUUGUCAUUAAUAAGUUGUCUAAUUUACCAGAUAAUGGAAGGUAGAGAAUUCAAGAAUAUUCCCAUGAUUAACAUUGGUGAGG
Molecule: long non-coding RNA, 1099 nt
Organism: Mobula hypostoma (lesser devil ray)
Lineage: Eukaryota; Metazoa; Chordata; Chondrichthyes; Myliobatiformes; Myliobatidae
Exons: 3
Source: RefSeq, a predicted model, not a curated record